This 2898-nucleotide ribosomal RNA is filed under the name Klebsiella pneumoniae. RNAcentral describes it as "bacterial LSU rRNA". It matches the Rfam family "Bacterial large subunit ribosomal RNA". Lineage: Bacteria; Pseudomonadati; Pseudomonadota; Gammaproteobacteria; Enterobacterales; Enterobacteriaceae. The record is from RNAcentral.
UUAAGCGACUAAGCGUACACGGUGGAUGCCCUGGCAGUCAGAGGCGAUGAAGGACGUGCUAAUCUGCGAAAAGCGUCGGUAAGGUGAUAUGAACCGUUACAGCCGGCGAUGUCCGAAUGGGGAAACCCAGUGUGAUUCGUCACACUAUCGUUAACUGAAUACAUAGGUUAACGAGGCGAACCGGGGGAACUGAAACAUCUAAGUACCCCGAGGAAAAGAAAUCAACCGAGAUUCCCCCAGUAGCGGCGAGCGAACGGGGAGCAGCCCAGAGUCUGAAUCAGCUUGUGUGUUAGUGGAACGGUCUGGAAAGUCCGACGGUACAGGGUGAUAGUCCCGUACACCAAAAUGCACAGGCUGUGAACUCGAAGAGUAGGGCGGGACACGUGGUAUCCUGUCUGAAUAUGGGGGGACCAUCCUCCAAGGCUAAAUACUCCUGACUGACCGAUAGUGAACCAGUACCGUGAGGGAAAGGCGAAAAGAACCCCGGCGAGGGGAGUGAAAAAGAACCUGAAACCGUGUACGUACAAGCAGUGGGAGCACCUUCGGGUGUGACUGCGUACCUUUUGUAUAAUGGGUCAGCGACUUAUAUUCUGUAGCAAGGUUAACCGUAUAGGGAGCCGCAGGAAACCGAGUCUUAACUGGGCGUUAAGUUGCAGGGUAUAGACCCGAAACCCGGUGAUCUAGCCAUGGGCAGGUUGAAGGUUGGGUAACACUAACUGGAGGACCGAACCGACUAAUGUUGAAAAAUUAGCGGAUGACUUGUGGCUGGGGGUGAAAGGCCAAUCAAACCGGGAGAUAGCUGGUUCUCCCCGAAAGCUAUUUAGGUAGCGCCUCGUGAAUUCAUCUUCGGGGGUAGAGCACUGUUUCGGCUAGGGGGUCAUCCCGACUUACCAACCCGAUGCAAACUACGAAUACCGAAGAAUGUUAUCACGGGAGACACACGGCGGGUGCUAACGUCCGUCGUGAAGAGGAAACAACCCAGACCGCCAGCUAAGGUCCCAAAGUCAUGGUUAAGUGGGAAACGAUGUGGGAAGGCACAGACAGCCAGGAUGUUGGCUUAGAAGCAGCCAUCAUUUAAAGAAAGCGUAAUAGCUCACUGGUCGAGUCGGCCUGCGCGGAAGAUGUAACGGGGCUAAACCAUGCACCGAAGCUGCGGCAGCGACACUAUGUGUUGUUGGGUAGGGGAGCGUUCUGUAAGCCUGCGAAGGUGACCUGUGAGGGUUGCUGGAGGUAUCAGAAGUGCGAAUGCUGACAUAAGUAACGAUAAAGCGGGUGAAAAGCCCGCUCGCCGGAAGACCAAGGGUUCCUGUCCAACGUUAAUCGGGGCAGGGUGAGUCGACCCCUAAGGCGAGGCCGAAAGGCGUAGUCGAUGGGAAACAGGUUAAUAUUCCUGUACUUGGUGUUACUGCGAAGGGGGGACGGAGAAGGCUAUGUUAGCCGGGCGACGGUUGUCCCGGUUUAAGCAUGUAGGCUGGUUAUCCAGGCAAAUCCGGAUAAUCAAGGCUGAGGUGUGAUGACGAGGCACUACGGUGCUGAAGUAACAAAUGCCCUGCUUCCAGGAAAAGCCUCUAAGCAUCAGGUAACAUUAAAUCGUACCCCAAACCGACACAGGUGGUCAGGUAGAGAAUACCAAGGCGCUUGAGAGAACUCGGGUGAAGGAACUAGGCAAAAUGGUGCCGUAACUUCGGGAGAAGGCACGCUGGUGUGUAGGUGAAGUCCCUGCGGAUGGAGCUGAGACCAGUCGAAGAUACCAGCUGGCUGCAACUGUUUAUUAAAAACACAGCACUGUGCAAACACGAAAGUGGACGUAUACGGUGUGACGCCUGCCCGGUGCCGGAAGGUUAAUUGAUGGGGUUAUCCGUAAGGAGAAGCUCUUGAUCGAAGCCCCCGGUAAACGGCGGCCGUAACUAUAACGGUCCUAAGGUAGCGAAAUUCCUUGUCGGGUAAGUUCCGACCUGCACGAAUGGCGUAAUGAUGGCCAGGCUGUCUCCACCCGAGACUCAGUGAAAUUGAACUCGCUGUGAAGAUGCAGUGUACCCGCGGCAAGACGGAAAGACCCCGUGAACCUUUACUAUAGCUUGACACUGAACAUUGAGCCUUGAUGUGUAGGAUAGGUGGGAGGCUUUGAAGCGUGGACGCCAGUCUGCGUGGAGCCGACCUUGAAAUACCACCCUUUAAUGUUUGAUGUUCUAACGUUGGCCCCUUUACCGGGGUUGCGGACAGUGUCUGGUGGGUAGUUUGACUGGGGCGGUCUCCUCCCAAAGCGUAACGGAGGAGCACGAAGGUUAGCUAAUCCUGGUCGGACAUCAGGAGGUUAGUGCAAUGGCAUAAGCUAGCUUGACUGCGAGCGUGACGGCGCGAGCAGGUGCGAAAGCAGGUCAUAGUGAUCCGGUGGUUCUGAAUGGAAGGGCCAUCGCUCAACGGAUAAAAGGUACUCCGGGGAUAACAGGCUGAUACCGCCCAAGAGUUCAUAUCGACGGCGGUGUUUGGCACCUCGAUGUCGGCUCAUCACAUCCUGGGGCUGAAGUAGGUCCCAAGGGUAUGGCUGUUCGCCAUUUAAAGUGGUACGCGAGCUGGGUUUAGAACGUCGUGAGACAGUUCGGUCCCUAUCUGCCGUGGGCGCUGGAGAAUUGAGGGGGGCUGCUCCUAGUACGAGAGGACCGGAGUGGACGCAUCACUGGUGUUCGGGUUGUCAUGCCAAUGGCACUGCCCGGUAGCUAAAUGCGGAAGAGAUAAGUGCUGAAAGCAUCUAAGCACGAAACUUGCCCCGAGAUGAGUUCUCCCUGAGACUUUAAGUCUCCUGAAGGAACGUUGAAGACGACGACGUUGAUAGGCCGGGUGUGUAAGCGCAGCGAUGCGUUGAGCUAACCGGUACUAAUGAACCGUGAGGCUUAACCU